CAGCGCCACGAGUGGUGACCAUGUUUAUUGGGCCUAAAGCGUUCGUAGCUGGUUUAGUAAAUCUUUUGUGAAAUCGUGAAGCUUAAUUUAACGGCGUGCAGAAGACACUGCUAAACUUGGGACUGGGAGAGGUUAGAAGUAUUCCCGGGGAAGCAGUAAAAUGCUAUAAUCCCGGGAGGACUACCUGUGGCGAAGGCGUCUAACCAGAACAGAUCCGACAGUGAGGAACGAAAGCUAGGGGAGCGAACCGGAUUAGAUACCCUAGUAGUCC
RNAcentral lists this ribosomal RNA (271 nucleotides) under uncultured archaeon. RNAcentral's name for it is "partial 16S ribosomal RNA". It matches the Rfam family "Archaeal small subunit ribosomal RNA", at positions 477 to 747 of the family's 1478-position model. The record is from RNAcentral.